This 395-nucleotide ribosomal RNA is filed under the name uncultured bacterium. RNAcentral describes it as "bacterial SSU rRNA". It matches the Rfam family "Bacterial small subunit ribosomal RNA", at positions 957 to 1353 of the family's 1533-position model. The record is from RNAcentral.
UAACGCGAAGAACCUUACCAGGUCUUGACAUCUUUUGAUAGCCUAAGAGAUUAGGUGUUCCCUUCGGGGACAGAAUGACAGGUGGUGCAUGGUUGUCGUCAGCUCGUGUCGUGAGAUGUUGGGUUAAGUCCCGCAACGAGCGCAACCCUUAUUGUCAGUUGCCAGCAUUAAGUUGGGCACUCUGGCAAGACUGCCGGUGACAAACCGGAGGAAGGUGGGGAUGACGUCAAAUCAUCAUGCCCCUUAUGACCUGGGCUACACACGUGCUACAAUGGACGAUACAACGAGUCGCUAGACCGCGAGGUUAAGCUAAUCUCUGAAAGUCGUUCUCAGUUCGGAUUGCAGGCUGCAACUCGCCUGCAUGAAGUCGGAAUCGCUAGUAAUCGCGGAUCAGC